AUGGCUUCUCUUACUAUGCUGACCUGCUGGACCAUCUGAUGCAAGAGAAAUGCACGGGUUUUCCGUCACAAGUCCAUGCUUCUGUCCUUGUUGCUAUCGAAGAUUCAGAGUGACACCAACCUGUGGGUUAUUGCGGGCGCAAAGCGCUUGGGCCAGAUCAUGCCGGGAGAGCAGUGGCCAUGUAAUUUUUCCUUUCGCUUUUCGUGUAAAAGCAACUCUAAACUCCUUAAUUAA
This 234-nucleotide ribosomal RNA is filed under the name Triticum aestivum (bread wheat). RNAcentral's name for it is "partial small subunit ribosomal RNA". Lineage: Eukaryota; Viridiplantae; Streptophyta; Magnoliopsida; Poales; Poaceae. The record is from RNAcentral.